CUCAACUCCUGCACGCUACGAUAUAGAAGUUGGCAACACUGCGGUUACUAGAGAAGAGGACAUCAAAAGAGUGAGAGUGAGGCGAGGUAUGUCCAGUUUAGAGGAGAUAAAACUCGCCAUCUGCUGCCAUCUGCUCUUGUUACUUGGUCUCUCUGAGGAAACCCUUCAAAAAUUGAUCCAUGGGCUUACUGCUAUUGGUGUUGAAACAAAAGCUGACCUAAACUAUGUGAAAGAAGGCGACCUCAUGGAAUACCUCAGGCCUAUCCAAUGUCGAAAACUACUAAAUGCGUGGAAAAAUGAAGCCAGCUGCUCGACUUCCCAAUGCUCAUCACAUCAAGUUCUUUCUGAUGCAUCAAGCCCAGGAUCAGAGAGUUCAA
This 377-nucleotide long non-coding RNA is filed under the name Sinocyclocheilus anshuiensis. RNAcentral's name for it is "lncRNA (ENSSANG00000050652.1)". Lineage: Eukaryota; Metazoa; Chordata; Actinopteri; Cypriniformes; Cyprinidae. The record is from RNAcentral.